GCCCCCCUCCCCCACAUUCAUCAUUCCACUGCACUUCCCCCCACCCCAUUCCAACCAACAGCAGAUUGUGCUGUAGUAUUUACUACUGAAAAAAAUCUGCAUGUAAGCAGACGCAUGCAAUUUUCAAACCAGUGUUAUUCAGGGGUCAGCUUUACUCAGUUUUUAUAAGGUAGUGUUGAAGGUGUUCUUAGGAGUAUUGCUAUUAUUCCUCUCAAGUAGCACUUAACUAAUUUGCUUGGAUAACACGCACUCUCCAUUAUCUUGUUAAAGAGUAAUAAGUAGUUCCAAGUGAAUGAAGGAAAACUAUUAUGCUUUUAGGCUGUUCUCUGAUAUACCAACUUAUUUCUUUUUCUACAAAUUUGCUUGUUUCUCUAUUUAUUUGUUCCUAAGCCUUUUUAAAGUAAUUUUUUCAUUACACAAUCAUUUAUUGAUUAUAAUCUGAUAAAAUGUGAGUAUAUAUAGAAUGAGAAUUAGUUUAAUGAAUUUAAGCUUGGGUACAAAACUCAGUAAAGACAAAUUGCUUUAAAAAGUUAUUCUUGAAUUAGAUAUGAUCAUGAAAAAUACAGAAGAUUAAAGAAAAAAGAAACUAUAAAUAUCUAUACUCAAGAGUACUUCAUAGAAAUCUUAAAGUUUUGGCUCUGCUUUAAAGAAACUGAAAGAAUUCAUAAACUUUGAAUUAUGGAUCUGAUCCUAUAAAAAAACUUUAGAAUUUCAGUCAGCAUAUAUACACUAAAAGCCUUAACCUUACUUAACCUUACUUAAAUAUUAGCAAAUGAUGUAUCUUCAUAUAUUCAUAAAAUGUUUGGGCUUUUUCAAUUAAAAUUUUGAAAUUUAAUCAAUUUCCUCAUUUAUUAGGAAAUUGUUUCUUCCAUUUCCUUAUAUGUAAAGUGGGAUUUGUGUAGAAAUACCAGAUGAUCUUUUCAAUUUUUUCUCAUAGCUUAAAAAUGUUUUUUAAAAAACUGAAUUCAUUUUCUCAGAUAUGUUCAGUAACACUGACCAAUUUUCCUAUAAAUCAGGGAAGUCCUUGCUCUAAAAUAAUAUAAUCCCUAACAUUAAUUUUAGAUAGUUAUUCUUUUUCACUAUUAGCCUUAACAGGCUCAACUGUAAUGCCUUACAAGUUAGAUUUUUCCCUUCUCUCACCUCUACUAUUUGUUUUCUCUGUUUGAUUUGCCUAAGGAAAAGAAUAUUAUUCUCUAAGGAAUAUCUGAAAGUAUUUGGCUGAGUUCAUUCUGAGACAAAAUAGAAGCGUCCAAAGGAAUGCCAUUGCUGUAUCAAUAUGAUAAAAACAGUAUAAAUGAACUGAUAGGAUUUACUUUUUUUCUUUCAUUGUGGUAAAAAAUACAUAACAUUAACUUUACUAUUUUUAAGAGUGUAAUUUAUUGCCUUUAAGUAUACUGACAGCAUUGUGCAAUCGUCAACAUUAUCCAUUCACAGAACUUUUCCAUCAUUCCAAAACAGUAGCUCUACACCCAUUAAACAGUACUCCUAAUCCCGACUUUCACCCAGUGCCUAGUGAACACUGUUCUGUUUGGUUUUUGGUUUUUGUCUUUUUAGGGCCGCACCCUCGGCAUAUGGAGGUUCCCAGAUUAGGGGGUCUAAUUGGAGCUGUAGCCGCUGGCCUACACCACAGCCACGCCAGAUCUGAGCCAUGUCUGCGACCUACACCACGGCUCACGGCAACGCCGGAUCCUUAACCCAGUAAGCAAGACCAGGGAUGGAACCUGCAACCUCAUGGUUCCCAGUCGAAUUCGUUAAUCACUGAGCCACCACGGGAACUCCUGAACACUUCUAUUCACUAUGAAUUUGAUUAUGCUAGGUACCUAAAAAAGUAGAAUUAUACUUAUUUAUCUGUCUGGCUUAUUUCACUUAAUAAUGUUUUUAAGUUCCUCCAUAUCCUUAACCCACUAGCCAUAAGGGAACUCUGUUUUUACCUUUUGUGUGCAUGUAUGUCUUUUGGGAGCUGCACCCAUGGCAUAUAGAAGUUCCCAGGCUAGGCGUCAAAUUGGAGCUGCAACUGCUGGCCUACACCACACCUACAGCAACGCCAGAUUCAAGCUGUGUCUGUGACCUACACCACAGCUCACGGCAAUGCCAGAUCCUUAACCCACUGAGCAGGGCCAGGGAUCUAACUCACGUCCUCAUGGAUUCUAAUCAGGUCUGUUAUUGCUGAGGUAUGAUGAGCAUUCCCUAUUUUUAGCUUUUGACAUUUGUUAAUAAUGUUGCUUCUAUGAACCUUGAUGUACAGAUAUCUGUUCAAGACCCUACUUCCAGGACCUUUUGAGUAUAUAGAAGUGGAAUUGGGAGUUCCCGUCGUGGCACAGUGGUUAAUGAAUCUGAUGAGGAAACAUGAGGUUGUGGGUUUGGUCCCUGGCCUUGCUCAGUGGGUUAAGGAUCUGGCGUUGCCUUUAGCUGUGGUGUGGGUCACGGAUGGGGCUCGGAUCCUGUGUGGCUGUGGCUGUGGCUGUGGUGUAGGCCAGUGACUACAGCUCCGAUUCGACCCCUAGCCUGGGAACCUCCAUGUGCCGCAGGAGCAGCUCAAGACAAAAAGACAAAAAAAAAAAAAGAGGUGGAAUUACUGGAUGGUAUGAUAAUAAUUUUUAUUUUUAACUUUUAAAAACCUGUUUAACUUUUUGAGGAACCACCAAAUUGUUUUCCACUGCAGCGUCACCAGUUUGCAUUCCCAACAGCAAUGCACAAGAAUUCUUACCUCUCCACAUCCUUGCUAACACUUGUUAUUUUCCGUUUUUUUUUUUGUUUUUUUUUUUUUUGGCAAAAUCCAUCCUAAUGGGUUUAAUAUAGCAUCUCAUGGUGAUUUUGAUUUGUGUGAUUUACUUUUAACCCAGAUUGAGAAAUGCAUACAGAUAAAUUUCUUUGUUGUCCCAACUAAAAAUUCUUGGUAACCUGUAAAAUUGCAUUUUAUAGUUUUAAACUACACAUCUGAAUUUACUGGUUGUUCUUGUUAAAUUAGUCUUGAAACUACUGUAAUACAUAAAUUCUUUAAAUGUUACAUUGUAUUUUUUGAUUUGUUUCUGACAUCCUCAAAGUUUAAAUCAUUUCUCUCCAGCGACAACCGUUUGUUACCUAGACUCACAAGUAAUCAGCUUAAUAAAGGACAUUCUAUAUGCAGGCAAUUAUAGUCAUUGAUGCCUGCUAAUGCAAGCUGCUUUGUAGUCAUUAUCUAGCAAUACGGGACUAAAGAACUUGAUUAUUCUUGUUUUUCAUUUUUAUUAAAUUAAGAAGUUUUUUUGAAUAGUGUCAUCUUGCAAAUGGUUCUUAAGAGUAAUACCUUUCAAGACUCCAUAAUCACUAGAUAAUUAACCUGCCAGGAUUAAGUAUACUCAACUUUGCCUCAGGAUGCUUAACUCUCAAAUAAAGUCAAUUAUCUCAUGAUAAUAACUACUUUGUCAAGAGUUACCACUUAAUUCCACACUGAAACGUCACUCUCACCCAUACAAUGUGCUUUAAGAUAGAGUUUAAAUAAUAAAAUACAGCUUGCAAAUUGGGUAGAAUUUAGUUUAAUUAUUUCAUACAUUUUAAGAAUGCUGCAUUUUAGGUAAAACUCCCCCUCAUAGACCUAGUAUUUUGAAUCUCACAGAUGAUUUCUGUUUUCAAAGAUUAUAUGUUACUCUGUUUCAUCCAUCUUUUUGCUGGCAAUAUUCCCAUGUUGUACAUUUUCUUGCAAGGAAAUCCAUUUUUUAAACCUAUUGAUCCUACAGAAGAUUCAGUAUAUUAAAAAUCUCUAGUGUAGGUCAGGAAAAUAGAAAUUACUGUCUCUUUCCUGAGUGAUGAUUUAACUUUUAAAAAAAAAUGUCUAUUUUAGCCAGGAAUGAAUUACAAAACAGUAAACAAAAUUCUGCAGUUCUGUCGUGGCUGAGUGUGGCUCUUCAAUCAUAUUAGGACAGUGAUAUAUAUAGCCAAGAACAGUAAUGCUACUUAAUGCAUCAGGACAUUUUGAAACAUAAAAUUGACUUCACUUAUUUGAAUUUUUGUUUUCUAAACCUGAAUAAUGGUUCUGUCCCCUUACAAGAAAACCCUGAUCAUCUUUUUGCUAAACCAGAUGGAAUAGGUUAACUUUUUAUUUCACAUAUUUUCCUGGAGGAGGAAGGGGAUAUUUAUUGAUGUUUAUUGUUUACUCUGUUAAAUCCAUCUUAAUCUUUCUAACAGCCAUUGAUUCUUUUUUAAAAAUGCUAAUAUAAAAAUUAAUAGUUGGAAAACAGCAGUAGUGCUUUUAAUUGUAAAUAACCUUUGAUAAACUCUGUCUUAUCUGAAGUAUUUUGUCUGUGUCUAUACAAAGAUGUCUUUUGCUAUUUCAAUAUGAAAAUCUGUGUAAAUCUUUAAAUUAUGUGUGCCAAGUAUAGGAAGUGCUGUACAUGUAUACAUCUUCAUCCCAAUAGUCUCUCUUUAGUUAGGAGACUUUCUCUUUUUUAUAAGUUUGUUUUUUAAUUUUUGGAAAAAAAUUCUCCCUUCUCUCUCAAAUCUGUGCACAUUUUAUCCUCAGAGAAUUCCUUUUUGAAUUUUUACAUCUUUUUGUCGAAUCUAAUUCUUUGCAAUACAUGAUUUCCAAACGCUUUCAGAAAGCAGGCUGUCACCAAAUCCAUAUUCUGACAGUAGAAGAGAUGGUCUUUUCUUUUCUCAUAUCAGGAUGUUUCCAACAUGAACAUGGGUAACAGAGCUGUGUCUCAAAUGAUAAUUCUACCCUAUUAAGUAUACAAAGGUGUCUAGUUUCUUCCAAGGAAUGAUGGAAUUCACCUCCCUGAGGCUCUUCAUGUAGAGCUUUCCAUUCCUCUUUCAUUACUAUAAGCAAAGAGAGUGAAAGGAGCCUGUGAUAUAGACAAAAACUAAGGUUGUUGUAAGAUCAGCCCAGAAAGGGGGAAAGAUGUUUUGGAGAAGAUAUAUUUUGAACCUCUUCAGAAUAAUUAAAACUUAUGGUGCUCUUAUAAAAUUCUGAUAUAUUUUCUGCUGAGGAUAAUGAAAUUUCAGUCAAGACAGGGCUAUGGCAUUGUAAGACUGCUGCUUAUUAGCUCUUGGAUUUAACUUUCUCCUCAAGGCCUUUCUGAUAUAUUUUACUCAUC
RNAcentral lists this long non-coding RNA (5072 nucleotides) under Sus scrofa (pig). RNAcentral's name for it is "lncRNA (ENSSSCG00060061661.1)". The record is from RNAcentral. Lineage: Eukaryota; Metazoa; Chordata; Mammalia; Artiodactyla; Suidae.